Molecule: ribosomal RNA, 423 nt
Filed under: uncultured prokaryote
Description: bacterial SSU rRNA
Rfam family: Bacterial small subunit ribosomal RNA
Source: RNAcentral
UGAGGAAUAUUGGUCAAUGGGCGCAAGCCUGAACCAGCCAUCCCGCGUGCAGGAAGACGGCCCUAUGGGUUGUAAACUGCUUUUCCAGGGGGAGAAACUUGCGCAUGUGUUGCGCAAUUGACGGUACCCUGGGAAUAAGCAUCGGCUAACUCCGUGCCAGCAGCCGCGGUAAUACGGCGGAUGCGAGCGUUAUCCGGAUUCAUUGGUUUUAAAGGGUGCGUAGGCGGACUAUUAAGUCAGUGGUGAAAUCCUGCAGCUUAACUGCAGAACUGCCAUUGAUACUGAUAGCCUUGAGUUUGGUUAAGGUAGGCGGAAUGUGUAAUGUAGCGGUGAAAUGCUUAGAUAUUACACAGAACACCAAUUGCGUAGGCAGCUUACUGAGCCGACACUGACGCUGAGGCACGAAAGCGUGGGGAUCGAACA